GGCCCAGCGCCUUUGCCCCGCAAGCCAGGGAGCGGUGCCAUUGCUCCAGGAAGUCGCCUGGCCUGAGACUUUCCUAAAUUCUACCCAGACUCAGCGCCCAGAGCCUGAUGCGACUAACACUGCCCUUGUCAGGACCGCCCUUGUCAGGACAGCCUGCAGGGUCCUUAGUCUCAGGUGGCGUCCCUGCAAAGCAGACCCCGAGACAAGGGUCUGGGCACAAGUGGCUGUUCUGGAGGGGAGUCUAGGAUUUGCUGCGAGGCACCGGGGGAAGCAGGAUGGGAAGCAGGGAGCCCGCAAAGCAACUCAGCCUGCUGGGGACCCUCCGAGAACAGAGGCCCAUGAUGUGCCGAGUGGUCCUGCUGGGAUGGUGGAUGGCGUUGGGAUGGGAUCCUGUGAAUAAAAUGGCGCAGACGUGCUUGUGCGGCUUUCCUGCUGGAGUCCAUGAGCGUCUCGAGGAUUUGGUUGAGCCUUUAUUGGGCUGUCAAGGUGUCUUCCUAGACCUCAUGGUGUCACUGAAUUGGAUCCAUUAUAACCCUCCAUUCAUCUGCUUGGCUCUCGACAGACUCACAAAUGUGCUCAGAGGCCAAGUCACCCUGUGUGCUGCCAGCCCGGGGCAUGUGUGUUCAUGUCAUGUCACAAUCUGUUCAGAGUACUGUCAUCAGCAACAGAGCAUGGCUCAGCACGCGGGCAAAACUGCACCAACCACGAUGCAUGGACACAGCACCCAUCUAGCCCUGACCUGGUGGUUUGUUUGUGUCCCCUUGCUCUGCCCUACCCAAGGAGGAUGGGGGGUUCAGUGUGUAAAAAAAUAAAGUCUGGACUCAUAGAUAAUAUUA
Long non-coding RNA from Homo sapiens (human), 836 nucleotides. RefSeq lists it as uncharacterized. The record is from RefSeq and is marked validated. Lineage: Eukaryota; Metazoa; Chordata; Mammalia; Primates; Hominidae. The transcript is spliced from 5 exons.